This 240-nucleotide unclassified non-coding RNA is filed under the name Arthrobotrys sp. RNAcentral's name for it is "partial contains 5.8S ribosomal RNA, internal transcribed spacer 2, and large subunit ribosomal RNA". The record is from RNAcentral. Lineage: Eukaryota; Fungi; Ascomycota; Orbiliomycetes; Orbiliales; Orbiliaceae.
AACGCACAUUGCGCCCGCCAGUAUCCUGGCAGGCAUGCCUGUUCGAGCGUCAUUUCAACCCUCAGGACCUGUUUCCUGGUGUUGGGGUACCUAGGUAGUAGGGCCCUCAAAGACAGUGGCGGGCUCUGUCACACACCGAGCGUAGUAAUCUCCUCGCUUAGGGCGUGUGUCAGGGCGUGGCCUAAACCCAUACUUAUAAAGGUUGACCUCGGAUCAGGUAGGAAUACCCGCUGAACUUAA